UACGGGGGGGGCAAGCGUUGUUCGGAAUUACUGGGCGUAAAGUGUGCGCAGGCGGCUUCGCAAGUCGAGUGUGAAAUCCCCGAGCUUAACUUGGGAAUUGCGCUCGAAACUACGGAGCUGGAGUGUGGCAGAGGAAGGUGGAAUUCCACGUGUAGCGGUGAAAUGCGUAGAGAUGUGGAGGAACACCGAUGGCGAAGGCAGCCUUCUGGGCCAACACUGACGCUCAUGCACGAAAGCGUGGGGAGCAAACAGG
Molecule: ribosomal RNA, 253 nt
Filed under: uncultured bacterium
Lineage: Bacteria
Description: partial 16S ribosomal RNA
Rfam family: Bacterial small subunit ribosomal RNA
Source: RNAcentral